RNAcentral lists this ribosomal RNA (595 nucleotides) under Triticum aestivum (bread wheat). Its description in RNAcentral is "partial small subunit ribosomal RNA". The record is from RNAcentral. Lineage: Eukaryota; Viridiplantae; Streptophyta; Magnoliopsida; Poales; Poaceae.
AUGGAAAGGUUUCUAAAAAAGAGGAGAACCUCAGUGCAAGAUGAAAAUGUUGGUCCGUCACACGAACAUAAUCAGAACGAUGGCUCAGUUCCGCCACCAUCGGAUGGACAAAUUGAUGCAUCACCACAUGAACAGACUGAUGUUCCAGCCCCGCCAUCACCACAUGGACAAAAUGAUGCCUCCACACAUGAACCUAGUUCUGCCAAUACUACAAGGAAUUCAUCUCAAGUUGAAGAGAUCAAUUGGGAAGAAGAAAUUCAGUUUGAUCCAGGUAAAAGGAGAAGCAUAGAUGAGUACCAUCCCAAUCAGAGAGAUAUGGUAAGAAGGAAGUAUUUGGCCAAUGGCCCUUGUCAACCUCGUAUUGCUGAUUUUGAUGUGACAGAAAUAUGUGGUAAGGAUAGAAGGUUCGUUCGGGAAUGGUUUGAUGAGUUUGGGAGCUGGACCCCGCAAGAAGAAAGAAGCCGGAUAUCAUGCAUUUGUUGCAAAUGGUUGGUCAAGUUGAAAUAAAAAAUAUAGAUUAAAGGAGCAUGUAGGAGACAUCAAUAGUGCUCACAACCAAGCAAAAAGAGAUUGUGAUGCAUUGCUGAAACAAAAG